RNAcentral lists this ribosomal RNA (303 nucleotides) under Enderleinia bispina. RNAcentral describes it as "partial 12S ribosomal RNA". Lineage: Eukaryota; Metazoa; Arthropoda; Insecta; Hemiptera; Machaerotidae. The record is from RNAcentral.
UUAAGAUCCUUAAAUUCAAAGAAUUUGGCGGUAGUUAAGUCUUUUUAGAGGAACCUGUUCUGUAAUUGAUAAUCCACGAUUGAUUUUACUUUAAUUUUAUUUGUAUACCUCUGUCAAUGAAUGUAUUUUAAGAUUAAUCUUCUUUAUUUUUUGUGAAUAGAUGUUAGGUCAAGGUGCAGUUUUAUUAAAGAAGAAAUGGGUUACAAUAAUUUUUUUUUGGAAAAGUUUAUGAAAUUUAAUUUUGAAAUUGGAUUUAAAAGUAAUGUUUUCUAAAUUAGAAAUAUUGAUUAAGCUCUUAACUAU